Molecule: ribosomal RNA, 512 nt
Filed under: Cryptobatrachus boulengeri (Boulenger's backpack frog)
Lineage: Eukaryota; Metazoa; Chordata; Amphibia; Anura; Hemiphractidae
Description: partial large subunit ribosomal RNA
Rfam family: Bacterial large subunit ribosomal RNA
Source: RNAcentral
CGGCCGCGGUAUCCUAACCGUGCAAAGGUAGCGUAAUCACUUGUUCUUUAAAUAAGGACUAGUAUGAAUGGCACCACGAAGGUUAUACUGUCUCCUUUUUCCAAUCAGUGAAACUGAUCUCCCCGUGAAGAAGCGGGGAUCUACCUAUAAGACGAGAAGACCCUAUGGAGCUUUAAACACUAUAUCAUUUGUCCCAGCAAACAUAUUAAAAUUUUGCCCAGCAUUAUGAUUAUUAGUUUUAGGUUGGGGUGACCGCGGAGUAAAAUUUAACCUCCACAUUGAAUAAAAUUAUAUUUAAAUAAAGAGAGACAUCUCUACAUAUCAAUAAAUUGACAUUCAUUGACCCAAUAUUUUGAUCAACGAACCAAGUUACCCUAGGGAUAACAGCGCAAUCCGCUUUGAGAGUCCAUAUCGACAAGAGGGUUUACGACCUCGAUGUUGGAUCAAGGUAUCCCAGUGGUGCAGCCGCUACUAAAGGUUCGUUUGUUCAACGAUUAAAACCUUACGUGAUC